RNAcentral lists this ribosomal RNA (254 nucleotides) under uncultured bacterium. Its description in RNAcentral is "partial 16S ribosomal RNA". It matches the Rfam family "Bacterial small subunit ribosomal RNA", at positions 524 to 776 of the family's 1533-position model. The record is from RNAcentral.
UACGUAGGUGGCAAGCGUUUGUCCGGAAUUAUUGGGCGUAAAGCGCGCGCAGGCGGUCCUUUAAGUCUGAUGUGAAAGCCCACGGCUCAACCGUGGAAGGUCAUUGGAAACUGGAGGACUUGAGUACAGAAGAGGAAAGCGGAAUUCCACGUGUAGCGGUGAAAUGCGUAGAGAUGUGGAGGAACACCAGUGGCGAAGGCGGCUUUUUGGUCUGUAACUGACGCUGAGGCGCGAAAGCGUGGGGAGCAAACAGG